This 21-nucleotide ribosomal RNA is filed under the name Waitea circinata. Its description in RNAcentral is "partial 18S ribosomal RNA". The record is from RNAcentral. Lineage: Eukaryota; Fungi; Basidiomycota; Agaricomycetes; Corticiales; Corticiaceae.
GAACUGCGGAAGGAUCAUUAA